CAGAGCGCACUGCAGCGCUCCUUGGAGAGGCUGUGGGCUUUCGGCAUCGGCGCCGAGGCUGCCAGGGCAGCAGGUUUCCUACCUGGUGUCCAUUGCCGUUAAUUCAAGACGGCUGCCACCCAGGCACGUCUCUGGGUCCCGCCGCUCCCUCCACACUCUCGGCACGGCUAGCAGUAAGAAUUUUUGCCACGACACUCGCUUCAGCAAGAGAUCUGCUUUCUUAGAACCCUAGCUGUCUGACUUUGAGCCUGAGGAGGAGUGCACUUACCCCAUGUCUCUGCUCAAGUGCUGGGAUUACAGAUGAUGCUGUUAGAAAAUAUGCUGCUUGUGAUGAGAUACAUUGAGCCCUUUGAUCCAGUGAGGUUAUUAAAGAAUACAGUUUUGAAAUCAUGGUAAAAUCUGGGUUGCCUGGAGGCCAGAAUUUUGUCAUUGGUGAAGAUAAACUUUUAAGACCUGCUCCAUAGACUGUCCUGCUCAAAAUUCACCAGCACACCAGGAUAUCCGUUUCCAUGGACACCUUUGGGAGACAGUUGGAAAGCCUUGUUUCUGUGUGUAGCCUUGGCUGUCCUGGAACUCACUCUGUAGACCAAGCUGACCUCAAACUCACAGAGAUCCACCUGCUUCUGUCUCCUGAGUACUGGGAUUAAAGGUGUGUGCCAUUAUCACCCAGCAGGAUUUUUCCCUUUAUGAUGUGAAAAAUAACAUUCAAUGAUGUUAGCCAAGUGGAAUGGCUGUAAUCCCAGGCAGGUUGAGGUAGGAAGAUUGCCAUUUUGAGGCCAUCAUAGACUACAUAGCACGACCCUGAACAUAGCAAAACAAUCACAACAAAGAAACAUGACUAAUUUUUUUUUUUUUUUUUUUUUUUUUGGUUUUUCGAGACAGGGUUUCUCUGUGUAGCUUUGCGCCUUUCCUGGUACUCGCUUUGGAGACCAGGCUGGCCUCGAACUCACAGAGAUCCGCCUGCCUCUGCCUCCCGAGUGCUGGGAUUAAAGGCGUGUGCCACCACCGCCCGCCUCAUUGCUUCUUUUUUAAGAUUUAUUUAUUUAAUAUGUAUACAAUGUGCUGUCAGCAUGUAUGCCUGCAUGCCAGAAGAGAGAGAACGCCAGAUAUUGUUAUAGAUAGUUGUGAUCCACCAUGUGGUUCCUGGGAACUGAACUCAGGACCUCUAGAAGAACAGCCAGUGCUUUUAACCUCUGAGCCAUCUCUCCAGCCCCUGCCAUUGCUUCUUUACAAAAGGAUGGCUGAUCCAGCUGAGUGUGGGAAAAUCAUAGACAGUGACAGACAACCUUUUUGUUGCUCCUUUUUUGGAUAGAUUAUAAAUGUUUUUUUUUUUUUUUUAAUUAAUGGUUGCUGGGACUCAAACCCCCAGGAUCUUAGACAUACAAAACCAUUGCUCUACCACUGAACUGUAUCUCUGACUCUGAGGAAGAUAUCUUUGAAAAAAUGUUGUAAAGUUUGCCAGAUCCUAUGAGUGAAUGACCUCAAAAGAGAAGAGGAGGCGACGCCCAUCAGUGAUAAAGGGUACUUGCUUUUUACAGCUGAUCCUACAAGUUGAGAUCAGUUUGCUUCUGAAUUUCGUCCCAGGAAAAUGAAGAUCAAGAACGCACAUCGACACAGCAGGGGUGGAUCAGUGGGUAAGAUGCUUGUCAUCCACCGAAACUGACAACCUGAGUCCAGUCCCCUGAAACCUAUACAACUGAAGGAGAGAACCAAGGCCCUCAGCCCAUGACAAUCUUCAAUAAAGAAGAAACACAGUGAAGGACUAUGUUAGAGGCACUCUGAGAUGGCUCAAAAUCCGUCCAAUAUAGCUCAAAACCAGGAUAAUGGUUUUGGAUUCUGAGGAGUAAUGCGUCCGUGAAUAUCUCAGACGGAGACAUGGACAAAGGAACAGGUAUCUCACUCCAUUAGCCCAGGCUCACCUGCCCAGCAGUGGCACGACUAAUGGGCUCUGGCCCUGUGCAUCACUCGGCAAUCAAGAGAAUUCCCUCAGAUAUGGCCACAGGCCAGUCCAAUGGAGACAGUUGCUCAAUUAAGGUGCCAUCUUCCCAGGGGUUUCAGUUGCAAAUGGCUGCAGGAUCCAGAUGGGGUACAUGUGUGAGAUGGUUCCUGGUAUUCACUGUCUUCCUUUUCCUUGAAAAGCUGGUUUUUGUGUUUUCCCUUUGCCAUUCUUUAAUUUAUCGUGAAGAUUAAUGGAUGCCAAGAGACAAGUGAUUCUAAGAGGAUGGAGAGUGUUUGAAACCCUGACCAACCUAAAUGUGCAAAACACAUCUAAAGGGAAAGGCUAGACUAGUGCUUGGCUAGUGCUAAUGUCUGGUAAGGUCGAUCCAAGUUUGCCAGAAUAUCUGGCUCUACAAGGAAAUAUGAAUAGCUUGAAAGGAUUUUUGCUUCCAGUAUUUUCAGGACAACAGAGUUAUGUUUAUAGCUGCUUUAAUAAUCUCACAGCCUCCGCUUCUUUGUAAUUGUAUCAUUGUCAUGUUACUGUAUUCUUAUGUUAUGAAAUAAGGGGAUGUAGAACAAUUGCUGUCCAAUUCAGGUUGAAGGCUGGUAGGUUCCUUUGGGCAGAGGUCAGAACUACUGGACCACAGUUGUGAAUGUAUUUGAGUAAGUUAGAAUGAAAUAAUCUAGGAAAGAAAAGAUCAUUAUACGUACAUAAAAACAAGAAAACAGUAGCCUCCAUUGGGUUACUAAGAAUAAAUAUUAUUGUAAAUUUUUUUGUCCUAGCUAUAUGUUUGUGUAUCUUUCAUUUAGUGUAAUUGUUUUCCCUACUGUGGGUUAAUUUCCUUUACUAGAUACUCAAUGAAAUGCCAUGAACAAACUAUCAUUUCCUGUAGACACGUCUUCUUAGCAAUACAAUAUUGGUUUAAAGUCAAGUGACAUUUAAUGUUUACCAUACUGUAUGGUAAGCUGUUUUCCUUUUUCAUGUUACUUACCCAGCUAUUUAAGACUUUUAAUUUUUUUCUGCGGGGUAUGUGUGUGUGUGUGCGCGCGCGCGCACGCGUAUUUAUCUUUCCAUGUGUAUUGGUGUGUCUGUUGAUAUCAUUGUCUUCCUCAAAUACUCACCACCUUAUAAUUGAAGCAGAGUCUCCGUGAACCCAGAAGCCUCCAGUUUGGCUAGUCUAGGUAGACAGCUUGUUCUGGGCAAUCCCUGUUUCUACCUCACAAGCACUUGGGUCACAAGUGAGCUAUUAUGCCCACACUAUCCAACAUUCAGCUUGUGCUAGGGAUCCUAACCUGGGUUCUUCAAUUUUCACCGACUGUGCUGUGCCACUGAGCCCUCUCUUCAGCCCCAGGUUGUUACUGCUUUACUUUGUUCAUUAGACGGGAGGGAGGGGAGACAGGGAGGGGAGGAACGCGUACGAGGGAGAUGUUGAUUUGUUUUUUGUGUGCCCGUGUGGAGGGGCCAUAGCAGGCUCCUUGAGGUCAGAGGACAUCAUGCAGAGUCUGUUCUCGCCACCUUGUACAUAUUGGGGGUUGAGCUCAGGUUGUCAUGUGCUUUGGCAGGUCCCUUUACCUGCUGAGUCAUCUUCACUGCCCCCAUAGGUUUGGUUUUUUUGGUAGUUUUUUUUUUCCUUCCUGUGGUUCUAAGAUAAGAACCCAGGACCAUGUACCAAGUGUAAGCUAGGCAAACAUUCUAUUACUGACUUGGCUACAUGCAUCCAUGCCUACUGGGAAUUAAAAGUGCUAGGUACUUGGCGGUGGUGGCGCACGCCUUUAAUCCCAGCACUUGGGAGACAGAGGCAGGUGGAUCUUUGUGAGUUCGAGGCCAGCCUGGUCUACAGAGCAAGAUCCAGGAAAGGCACAAAGCCACACAAAGAAACUCUGUCUCGGGGGGAAAAAUGCUAGGUAAGUGCUUUGUGAGCCAUGGCCUUAAGCCCUCUUUUAAGUUCCCCAGGUUGGCCUUGGUCUUGAAGUGUUUCUGCCUCAGCCAUCUGAGUAGCAAGAAUUAUGGCCAUACGCAAUCAGCCCUCUCCAAAAUCCUCGUUAAUAAUUGUUGAGACAGGCCCUUUCUGUGUAGCUCGGGCUGGCCUAGAACACAAUCCUCCUGUCUCUUUUUGAAGGCUGGUGUGCCAAGGCUAACUCACAUAAGUCAUUUUAAGUAUAUGGUGUUUCUCAAGAAUUUAACUAGAAGUUCGUCAGCCCUCUCACAGAUAGUAAAGGAUAGGGAUCAUUGAGAACUCCAUUGAUAAUUUACCAUCACUGAAAAAGUUUUCUCAUUCAUAAGUCCACUGUAAGCAGCCAAUGCUGUGUUGCUCAAUGUUUCAGGUAGAUUUGUAAGUUGCCUUGGUAUUAAAGUCUUGUGAUAGUGCUCCUAAUCUGUUUCAGCUGCAUUUUGCUGAGCUUUCCACAUCACUUCCUGUCUAACUUUAUUUCAUUAUGUACCCAAGUCCUAAUUAAUAUUUGAGGUGAAGUCUGAUGGUAUAUUUCAAUUCUGUUUCUAGGGGCUGUGCCCCAUUGCAGGGUAUAUAUAUCUCUGGCUGCAUUCCUCUGAAUGUUAAUAGUUGACUCCACGAUGUGGCAGCUAAAAAUGUCCCUAUAUUUGGCAGGAGGGAGACUUAACCCUGCAGCCUGAGGAGGUCCCUUUCUACUUAGAGAAUGUUACGAAGGUAAACCUGGAUGCUUGAGUUUCAGGGUGAGCACAGUGAAGCAAAGUUAGCAAGCUUAUUAAGUAUUUAAGCUCAUGGGGUGGUGGGGGAAAAUACAGUACAUAAUCUCAAGGCCUCUUGAGAGUUGAGAUUAGAUAUAUUUACAAUGUCUACGUAUAUCUCCUGGGGCUUUUGAAACUACAUGUCACAAAGGAUUACAAUAAGAAUUAAAGAUUAAUCAAAGCUUAAACUUUCAAGUUUAAACGUUUAGUAAGAGUAUUUGAGCUGGUUUACUUAUUUCCAAUCUUCGAGAAUUUUCUUUUGUAAGUAAAAUUGUAAUGUGGCCUUAUGUGGUAAGGGAGUGUUGAUUCAUCCUUUGAGUUCCUGCUUAAGGUGAUGUCAUGGGGUAAUCAAUCUGGCUCUCAGGACAAAGACCUGAGACAGACUUUCAGGCACCAUUCAGGGGUCUGGCACAGGGCAUUAUAAAAGCUGACAAUGAAAUUCCUUAGUCUUAUCUUUGUGCUUUGAGUCUUAAAGAUAAGAUAGGUUAGGCAUCUCCAGAUUUUAAAUAGUCAUGGAUGAUUAACAUCAGCCAUCUAAUCAAAAGAGAAGAAAACAGAAACUAAAGGCAGAGAUUUCAAGGUUCUGUCCUUGUUUUAGUGACCUCUGGACCAAGGUGAGCACAAGAGCCAUUCCUUUUAGCAAAAUAAAUUCCAAGUCCUUGUUACCAAAAAGCAAUGCAUGGUAUUUCAUUACAUAGAGUCAAUAUAUUAAAAGAUAUUACAUGUAUUGGUUAACAUAUAGACGAGCAGGUACACACUCAAAUUUUUUUUAAAUAAAAGGCACAUGACCAUCUUUUCAGUUUGCCAAUUCUUUGUUUUUUUAAUGAUUUAUUUAGGUUUUUUUAAUUUGCGUUGGUGUUUUACCUGCUUGUAUGUCUAUGCGAUGAUGUCAGAUCUUGGAGUUAUAGACAGUUGUUUGCUGCCGUGUGGGUGCUGGGAGUUGAACCAGGAUCCUCUGCAAGAACACCUGGUACUCUUAACCACUGAUCAUUCUCUCCAACCCCCAGACGGCCAAUUCUGAGUCUCUGAGUUCAACUGUCUGUUGUAUCACAUUUGUUUAUUUAUUUACUUUGUAUAAUCUGUGGGUAAAGACAGUUUUGCCUUUUUAUUGCUUGAAAAAAGCCAAAAUAUUAUUUCAUAACACAUAGGAAUUAGAAAUUCACAUUUCAAUGCCUGUCAGUUAAAAUAAUAUUUUAUCAGAGCUUAGCCACUCAUACAUUGAAUAUACUGUGGUUGCUCUUAAGCUACUAUAUAGGAGAAUACGGAGUAACUGAGACCCCAGAGACCUGCAAAAGCCUCAAACAGUGCUCAUUGACUAAACUGCCAUGUGAUUCUGUAUUGUUUUUAGUAGCUUUAAAUGCCAGGGUUGAGACUUCGUUAUUGGCCAACAAAAUGGUCCUCAUUCUAUUACACUGAGAGCAAAGGAGACCACAUUUCUUUACUCCCAACUGUUCCCCGUAGGCUGCCAGGACCUAACCCUCUAAAUUCCAAAUUGCUUGCUGGAUUUAGAGAAAAGCCUCUAUGAAUUUUUGACUCUGGGUGGUUAUUGCCUCAGAAUUUUGGCUCUAUCUUAGGUUUUUCCACUCUGUCAAGUUUUUGUGCUAUACAGUCGGUUCCCCCCACUUUUUUUUCUUGUUUUGUUGUUGUUGUUUUUGUUUUGUUUUGUUUUGUUUUUAUAAGGAAUUUCUCUGUGUAACAGCUCUGGCUGUCCUGAAAGACCAGGGUAGCCUCAAACGCAGAGUCCAGUACUGUUUCUGGCCUCCCCAGUGCUGGUGCUAAAGACGUGCGCCUCCACCACCCAGUUAGGGCUUGAAUUCUUUUUUUUUUUUUUUUUUUAAGAUUCAUUUAUUUAUUUAUUAUGUAUACAGUGUUCUGUCUGCACAUAUCCCUGCAGGCCAGAAGAAGGUGCCAGAUCUCAUUACAGAUGGUUGUGAGCCACCAUGUGGUUGCUGGGAAUUGAACUCAGGACCUUUGGAAGAGCAAGCAGUGCUCUUAACCUCUGAGCCAUAUCUCCAGCCCCCAGGACUUGAAUUCUUAAAUGCUGGCAAUCCAAGCAUAGCACCACUGACCCCAGCAAUCGAGCCUGUUAACUCAGUCACUGUUGGAUUGUUGGCAGGGAAGGUCUUAGACGUGAGAUACUUCGACAAACGAAAAGAACAUAAAACUAAUACAAUCUUGGUUGACAGUUUAAGUAAUAUGAACAUAUGACCUGAGUUCUGUAUGGGAUUUCAUUGACCUAGGAUGAUUCCUCUGUCAUUAGAGUAAAUCUGUGCAUCCCAAGUAGUUCAGUUUGUUUGUUUGUUUGUCUAUUUAUUUAUUUAUUUUUGGUUUUUCGAGACAGGGUUUCUCUGUGUAGCUUUGUGCCUGUCCUGGACCUAGCUCUGUAGCCCAGGCUGGCCUCAAACUCAGAGAUCCGCCCGCCUCUGCCUCCCAAGUGCUGGGAUUAAAGGCGUGCGCCACCACCGCCUGGCUUCUCGUAGUUCAGUUUAAAGUAAUUUAUUUCUGCUUCAGUUCGUAUUUGUAUGUGUAUUUGCAUAUGUGUUGGAGUGAGCUUUCAUGUUUAUGCAGUCCUGAGGUUCAAAGUCUGCUGGGAUAGGGGUUUUUUAAUCUAGAUUUUACUGAUCCACCUUUGUUGGCCGAGCUAGCUAGCCCCAGGGAUCCUUUGUUUUCCACCUCACAGCCCGGAGUUCUUUCCUUGGUUUUUUCAUGCGCUCUGGGGAUCCAGAGGCAGAUCCUGAUUCGUGAAAGGUAGGACCAACUGAGCCAUCCCUCUCUGAAGGAUCUCAGGUUUGCAGUUCAAGAGGGACACAGACAAAUUGUCCUUUUAGGUAAGACAUUUGUUAAUGUUACAUACAAAAGGCAGCCAGGGCUCUAAGGAGAGUUUAUGCCCCAGCAAUAAACAACAUGGCCAGGCCUGUGAGGAGAGCUAAGGUUCUUGAGGCAGACAAGGGAUCUCUCCUUCAAGUUCCCAGGAAGACCUAUGUCAUGUAUUCUUGUCUAAGCAUUUGGGGAAGCGGAGAGGAGAAACAUCUUGAGUUAAAGAAUUCACAUUCUGGUGGCCCUGAUAUAUUAAAGUCUCGUAAUUUGAGCCUAGAAUCAAAAUUGGGAAGUGGAAAGGCAUUUUUUUUUAUAAGUGCGUACCUCCAUUCCCAUGGAAUCCCUAUACUUGGAGAGAAUGUUCUGGGUUACAGAUUCACGAACAGGCUGUGUAUAGGAUGCUUACCAUUUCAUACAGCAGCUGUAAGGGUACCGGGACAAAGAACCUAUUGCAGGGAGAUAUGACCUAACUGCUUAAAUCUGGCUGAUCCACAGUAGGUGCCCAGUAAAGUUGAAUUAAUGAGUCUCUUGCCGUGACUAUUAAUAUUAUAUGAAUCAUCUCUUAAAUAUAGUUUUUUAUGUUACAAGUGUAACAUGUUUACAUCAUUCAGUUGCGUUGGGAGGCAGAUGUCCAUGCAGGUCAGAAGAGGGUAUCGGUUCCCCUGAGACUAGAGGUAUAGAUGAUUGUGAGUCACUAUGUGGAUCCUGGGAAAUGAACCCAGAUCAUCUGGAAGAGUAGCCCGUGCUCUUAACUACUGAGCCAUUUCUCCAUCCCUUGAUAAUGUGUGUUUACUUUUAUUUGUUUUUGUGUUUUUGAAACAGAAUCUUGCUAUAGCCUGUGCUGACUUUCUACUCAGUAUGUAGCCCAGGUUGGCCUCAAUUUCACAGUGAUCUUCCUGCCUCUCAGCCUUCUUGAGUGAUGGGAUUACAUGUAGGUGCAUAUCAUGAUAGCCAGCUUUGGAAACAUUUUUAGGGUCCUAUUGUCAGGAAUAUUUACAAGCUUGUAACAAACACAUGCACUUCUGAGAUUAAAGUAGCAGAUCCAGAGAUGAGCUACAUAAGUUUGAGCUGCAUGAGAUCUUGUCUCAAUCAGUCCCUUCCCAAAAACCCACAAAACAAAACAAAACGUAAAAAGUUUAGCAUGUUCUUAUGUUUCGGUUUGAAUACAUACAAAUCUAUCAUUGGACAAACAUAAUCUUCUCAGUAUAAUUUGUAACUUAUAAAUCUUAAUAGUACCAAACAGAGUACCCUCCAGAGCAGACCUUAAAUCGCCUCAAAACGUUUAGCCUACCACACAUAAGAUUGUACCACUAUUAUAUCCGUGGUAAUUACCAUUUUGGUCAUUUUAGUUUAUAGAGGUCAUAACUGGGUUCAUAACUUUUCCCCGUAACAGCCUACAUAGCACCCACCAGUACUAUGAAAGUUAGGCAACAGGAAUGAAGCUUUUUGGUCAGUACAUUUUAUAAACAGUAUGUGUGGUGUCUUCAGCAAUAGGUAUACAGCAAUCCCACUCCCCAAGACACGGUUUCUCUGUGUAACAGCCCUAGUCCUGGAACUCACUUUGUUGAGAAGGUUGGCCUCGAACUGAGAGAUCUGCCUGCAUCUGCCUUCUCAUUGCUAGGAUUUAAGUAUGCACCACCAUUGUCCGACAGGUAUACAUUUUUUUAAACAGUAUUUUGAUAACAAUGGGUAACUUUUUGUGAUGGUAUAUGAGUAGCCUAGGGUCAAAGUAUGCUAUAAAUGCUCUCUUGCACUAUUUAACAUCCCUGGCCUUUAGAGAGUAAAUUCUAAUAUGUCUCUUUCUGAUGGGCAGUUGAUGUUACUCACGCUCAGAAGCAUUGCUCUCAAAUAUCCCAGAAACUUAGUCAUGCUAAGCUUGGAAAUAAUAGUGAGGUCCCUUGGGACUUUUCGGGAAUAUUAGUAAGUAGGGAAUGUCAAACUUUCUGGCUUGUCUAUAGUACUUGUCUAGUAAGAUCCCGAGUCUGACCACAGUACUGGUAGGAACUCUGGGAGGACUAAGUUUACUAGCUCUGCAAAGGGCUAAUGAGUGCUCCUAUCACUUUAGCAUGGUUCAAGGUGAACACGCCUUUCUGAGUGGAAGGUCCUUGACCAACUAUUUGACUCUGCCCAUCUGGAUUAGUUUGUAUGGGAGGGGAGAAUGGAAUGCCUGCACCUCGAGGUAAAUGCCAUUCUUUUGGCUGAGAGAUAAUAGCCUUCCUUUAAUACGCUUUUAAUGUCACUGUAAAAUUACUGCUAUUAUAUUUUAUUAGAAAGUCAUCAAACUAGUUAAGUGCAGAAUUCAGUCAAAGAGUACCUUCUGGUAACAGUAGAUGCCAUUUCUGAACCUUAGCCUAAUCUAAUAGAGAACUCCCUUUACUAGGAAGCCAAGCAUUUCUGGAGAACAGCAUGUUUACUUAAACAUUUUAAAAGUUAUGGUUUUUUUUUUGGUUUUUUUUUGUUUUUGUUUUUUUGCCUGAUCAUGUUACAGAGGUGUUAGAGGAUAAAUAGGUAGGUGUCUGUUCUUUCAACAUAUGGAUCGUGGGGAUCAAACUUGGCAGCACACAUAUUACCCACUGAACAGUCUUACCAGGCAAGUUUACUUACUUAAAAAUAUGAUCCCCCUACUUACGAGUUCAGCAUCUCUGCCCAGCUAGUGUUGCAGCUGUCAGGAGCAAGAAAAACUGGCCUCUUGGUUUUUGGCUAGAUCACCGCCCAGCUUUUUCUUUUUCAGGUUUGCCUUUUGAUCCAUUAUAAAACUACCAAGACAAAGAUUCUUUAUAGCAAGUGCCAUCAAUCAAGCCCUACAUGGUUUUUCUAGGUCCAGUCCCCCUAGAUCUUCAACUUCCUUUUAACAUUUUAGCUUUUCUCUACAUAACAUUCUUUUUCUCUUUCUCUAUGGCAGUCAUUCUCAAUGUGUGGGUCAAGAACCCUCCUUUAUGGGUCGCCUAAGACCAUCAGAAAACAGAUAUUUACAUUAUGAUUCAUUACAGUAGCAAACUUAGAGUUUUGAAGUAGUAAUGAAAGUUAUUUUAAGGUUGGGUGUCACCACAACAUGAGAAUUGUAUUAAAGAAUUGCAGUCCUAAAAGUCACUACGAUUUACCCUGCCCCCUGAGCCAUUCCACAUAUGAGGCUUGUUGCAUGGUUACUCAGCCAUUUGACCUUUAAUGUACUCUGGAAGCAAAACUUGGGCACAAUCUGGGAGCUUUCUUUACUUAAAAGAUACAAAGUGGUCCCCCAAAUGACGGCUUGGUGUUAGACUUACUUACCCUCAGGGCAGCCUGUUGUGUCUUAGGAAGCCACAUCUUUUUGGCCAUUGCUGACCUCCACAGUCUUAACACAAGGGUAAGUGGUUUGAGAAAAGGGACACAGAUCCUUAUAUAGAGUGUCUGCUCAAUACAGAGUUCUCAGAGUAGGACCCAUUGAUUUUUAGGUAUGAGCAUAUCUUAACUAUGGUUGCCAUAAUCGGGCUCCUUUCUAUCUGUGAGCUGACUCAAAACUAAAGCAAGCAGUAUUAGUACUAGCUUGAUUAAUAGCUUGGCUUCUCAUCUAUUGCAGAGCAAAAUGGAAAUUCUAGGAGAGGAAUAGUAAACUAGUAUUCAGGAAUUCUGUUCCGAAGUUGAUGGGUACAAGAGAUAGGUAGUUGUCGGGUCCUUGACGGUUUGGGAUAAGAGGUUAAGAACAUCAAUUUGAUAUAUUUUUCAAAGAAGAAAAAGGCUGCAUAGUACUUCAAAGAGCUAACAAUCUAAGAAGAGUGUACCCUCAGCAACUACUAGUACCAGUCCUUAUCUAGCUUACUGACUGACCUUUCGAGUGUUGAGUGUGUAGUUAGCCAUCACUUAUGGCGUAGCAAGUUGACUUUAAAGACUAGUUUUCUCUUCACAAUUAAGAAUAUUCUUUUAAGAAGUUAACUAACACCUUAUUUGUUCCUCAGGGAUAAAAUUCUAAGUUAACCAUUAGUCAUUUAUGUGUGCUGGUGAAAUUUCAAGUUUCUCUUGUUCAGAAACUAGAGAAGGUCUUUUUCACAUGACUGUAGUUUUCACUCGUCUCUGCGACGUAAGCACGGGGAGUUGUUUAUACAAGUGCUAUUAUCUGUGUUUUCCUUGGAGACUUGCUGUACCCUGCCUUUUAAAUUAGAGGAGUAGUAUAUAUUCUGAAGGACACGGUUUGUGCUUGCACUUGAAAUUAGGUGGACUAAGAAAACCAAUAACGUUAGGUGUAGACAAGAUAAUAUGAUAAUUCGAUGGUUUUAUUUUCACAACGGAGCUUGUGGGCAUUAACAUUAUUUAUGAAAGAUUUGUUUUUUGUUUGUUUUUUCUAGACAGGGUUUCUCUGUGUAGCUUUGCUCAUUUCCUGGAACUCACUCAGUAGCGCAGGCUUGCCUCAAACUCCGACAUCCUCCUGGCUCUGCCUCCCGAGUGCUGGGAUUAAAGGCGUGAGCCACCACCACCCUGCAAGAUUUGUAAUGAAGAAACUAAAGAAUACUCUUGUCAUCAGGAGGAGGAAUGAGCCUGAAUGUAGUAGUGUCCUUUACUUUCCUAAUCCAUGUUAGAAAAGUUCGUGAUAACACCAAGGAAGGUAAAUUUUUUGUCACUGUCAUGUAGAAUGGCUAAAAUGAAUUGUAUUCCUCACACAAUAUUCAGUUAUGACCUUGGAGAUGAGGUGCUUAGUGGUGCCUAUUUUUUUAUGACCCUGAAUGUAUCCAUUGUACUUACUCACAUCCCAGUAUCAUCACAUUAAAAGGCAUACAGGAAAAGAAUGAUAUGUUGUACUUUAAUCUUGAGAAGUAGCAAUGUUAUAAUAGAAGAUUAUUCCACGUUGUCCAUUCCUCUACAUGCACUCACACGUUACAUACUCAAGAUUAAAUAAUAAUAAUUUUUAAAAUAUAGCAUGAUUUGGCAUAAUGAUAAAUUCAUGUUACCUCUGCUUUCAAGUACUUGAGGCAGGUGAAUUGCCCCCUUCUUGAUUUUUAAAUUCAGAUUCCAGCACCUAGGGGACCUAAAAAAGUGCUAGGUUAUGGAAGGGCCAGGUAUACAAGAGGACACCAAGAACUACUGAUAACUAAGGAGUUUAUUAGAUGCGUUAUUAAUGCCAUGGAAAUAGAGACAAUGAAGCGAUACAUGUUGACCUGCUUCCCACAGCAUACUGAGAAGCAUUUAGUUCCCAACAAGAAGAGAAUCAGGGGUCAGAGGGCAUAGCAAGGGGUUUUUUAUUUGUUUUUGAGGAUGAUGGUAGCACAAAUCUGUAGUUGGGUUUUCUGACUCCCAUUCAACAGCUCAGAAAGGGGAUUUGGGAACAGGAUGUGGCACUGGAUAUCUUGCUACUAGCAAAUUAGCUACCUUAGGGCUAACAGAAUAUGUCCCAGUAGGGUGCCUGUCCGUAUCUAUUAGAGAAGGCUUGAACGGAGUGGAGAAUGCUUUAUGGCAGGUUCAAGAGAAUAAUUACCUUUUCCCCUGUAUUGUAGAGUGUGGGUAGUAUUUCUGUAUUUGUUUCUCUACUUGUCUGCCUUAGUAAUGUUGAAAUGCCCCAUGUGAGACAUAAAGACUAUUUUUUCAUUGGAAAGUAAGGGUGUGUUUCCUUCAUUUCUUGUUUACCUUGAGCUAAAUCUCACAAUUUAGAAGGAUAGUUUGUGUUGUACUCUCUUCUCGGUCUCUCACAUAGAUCCUACCCUGAAGGUGUUUUCCAGUGGAGUGCCUGCAAUUGCACCCAUUAAGCAAUCAGAUUUGGCCAGUCACAUAUGGAAUUUGACUAAGGUCACGUAAACAAAAGUGGAUCAUUUUAUCACAAAUGCAAAGCAGUCCUUAAAGUUUUGGGAUUCCUAGCAGCCACUGCCUAUCUCCUAAGUAUGUGUUAUCUAGGAAACUUAAGAUACAAUUCUGCCUGGUAUGCAGUAUCCCUACCCUUUGGGAAACAUCAGUUUACCCAGUGGUCAAAUGAUAAAACUCAAGGCCAUUGUAUCAUUUGCAAAUGAUCAAGUAUGCAUUAGUAAUAGCACUAAAGUCCUUUACCGUAAUCAACUAGGAAUUUUCUGCUGUGGUUUCAACAUUAUGCUGAUAAACUGGGUUAUAUUUUGCCCAUUAAUUUAUUGUUUAAGGUGGUCUGAGGAUAUAAUGACUCAUAGUAUUAGUAGUUUCUCAUUAAUGGUAUUAGGGUAAUUUGACUGCUUUAAGGGGUACGAAUACCAAAACUUCUGUUCAAGAAUUCUAGUAAGAAUUAAGUUUAUGUGAAGCAUAAAAGUUGAGAUUUUGACAAGCUUCAUAGCUACAGCAGGCUUUAUUUAAUGCCAGAGACAUGGUAUCUGGAUUUCUGACAACUCCGUGAUCAGCCACUCAGUGACCAAAGUUCAAGAGAAUGCUGAUUAUGUGCUUUAAAGUGAUUUUGAUUAUUUGUUUUUGUUUUUCGAGACAGGGUUUCUCUGUGUAACCCUGGCUGUCCUAAAAGUCACUCUGUAGACCAGGCUGACCUCGAACUCCGAUAGAUCCCUCUGCUCUGCCUCCCAAGUGCUGGAAUCAAAGGUGUGCGCCAACACAAUCUGACUUUAAGCUGGUUUUGGUUGUUUUGUUUCCAACUAAGUACAGUGAAGGGGGACAGGGUCUUUUGUUACGUACAGAAAGGGUUUUCGUUAGUCAAGUCAUUUUUGACAAUGCAGGGUUUGUUGUCUCAUUUUGUAACCACCAGAUGUCUGGGGUAAGGGAAACCCCCAAAUAUCUGGCUUAGUAGAACUUUGAGUUUAGUUUUAGGGCCUUGGCUUUGUGUGUAAGUGGGUGUUUUAUCCCAUAUCUUUAUAUACUAAGGAAAUGGAGUAUCACUGCUGGUGAGCGCAGCCUCUUACCACGUUUUUUGGGCUCUAGAGUGAUGAAGACCUAGCCUCCUCACAAGCAUGCAUGAGCACAUGUACCUGUGCACACACAUGCAUACACCCCAUACACCCAAAAGAACAUUUUGUUUGUCAUUUCUGUGUAUUCAUAAAGGUAGUAUUGUAAGAUUUUCUAAGUUUCCACUUUCUAAUGUAUUACUGAACAGUAUAUUGUCUGCUUAGGCAGCAAGCUAUGUAUAUUAACCAGUGUUAACAUACUACUAAGUUUUUUUCAUUUGUUUGUAAGACCUUUGAUCAAAAAGAGGCCUAUUUUUCCUCUGGAGAAACAUGUGGUGUCUCCAGUUUUCUUUUUAGUGGGUUUACUGAGUGAGACAUAGAGAAAAAAACAUACCGCCAAGUUUGCUACUCAAAAAUAUCCAACAGAAGCUGGCCUGUGGUGGUGCACACCUUUAAUCCAGCACUUAGGAGGUCAAGGCAGGCAUAUCUCAAGAGUUGAAGUUCUGCCUGAUCUACAGAGGGAGUUCCAGGACAGCCUAUCUCGAAAACACCAAAAACAAGCAAGGAAACAAAUUUCAAUAGAAGCCUCUAAAGCAGCCAGCUGGAGUUCCCAAUUGAGAGAAUGCUGGGCAGAGCAAUGAAUCCUCUUAUGUGAGUGUUUCAAGUAAAAGAACAAACACUGAUAUUAUAGCUAAGAUAAAACAUUAUCAAAUGUGGAACACAGGAGAAGCUUGAAAAUCACAUCAGUUGUUCCCAGUGGUUUCUUUCCAUGAUUAACCUCUUUCCACUGUUGACCCCGCUACGGGAUAAGCCGUCCUAGAUGUUUUGCGGGCACGAUGACUUCAAUUAAUUAUGAAAGCUAGGCCUUAGCUGAGGCUUUAUUCCAACUAGUUCUCAUAACUUGAAUUAACCUGUCUCUAUUAAUCUACAUUCUGCCAUGGGCUCAGUUCCUCUGUCUUCAGAGUAUCGCUGGAGUCUCUGUAGUGCCUAUCCUGCUUCCUCUGAGUCUGACUGGUGACCCACCUUUCUUCAAAUCUUUAUUAAACCAGUCAGAAGGCGCCUUGGCAAAGUCAAAGUGUAAACAAGUAUUCCACAACAGAACACUUGGAAACAAACAUGCUUGUUUGUGAAGCGUGGGGGAAGGGGAAUCAUAACCUCUCUUCCCUUACUUAGCCUUUCUGAUCUCAAACAACACUUGGCAAUUUACCAGUGUAAUAUCCACAACACCCGAGCUCACGCUGAACUUAGAUUCUCCAAUUCCAGCUUCACCAGUGCUGGGAAUAAAAGCAAGUGCCAUCAUAGGGACGGGUUUUUGAGUGUUGUGGUGACUGGCGUUUGCAAUACUUUUCCUUCUAUUACUCCUGUAUUAGAGUGUUUAGUUGCUUAAUUGGAAGACUUAAACAUCCUGAUAGAAAUAAAUGCUUUCAAAUUUUUCUUUAUUUUGAGCCAUGCGCAUUAUAUAUAUAUAUGUGUGUGUGUGUGUGUGUGUAUGUAUGCGUUUGUGCGUAUGUGUGAAUGACAUUUAUUUUUUUUUUAAUUUUAUUUUAUUUUACCGGUAUGUUUAUAGAGCACUUUGAUACUGUCACAAGUCUUUUACAGCACUUCCUAUUUUUUGGCCUUGAACUCCCAGGGAUCCACCUGACUCUACCUCCCAAGUGCUAGAUUUAAGGGAGUAUGUUAACACCACCCUGUCUGGCAUAUACCAUUUUUCCCAAGCCUUAUUCUCUUUAUUCAAUAUUUGUUGUGCUGAUUAAUACGUAUCAACUUAGUCUCCCCCAGUCUUCACUCUCCUUGUUUGGUAAAUAGCUAUCGUGAGUAAAAUGCUGUUUCUCAUAGUAAUGUUUUGGCUCCCCCACCCUUUUUUCUGAUUGUUCUAGUAUUACAAUUAAUCUUUUACCUUGAAAUAAUUGUUUUCAAUUUAGUAGUAAAGUUCACUGUGUCUCCAUUUCCUUUCCAACUUUUGUACUAUAUAAAUUAAAUCUGUAUAUGCGAGGCACAUUAACAUGGCUUUCUCGUGAUUCCAUUAACUAGUUAUAGUUCAACUUGACGAUGAGAAUGAUGUUUUCAGCUUUACUGGUGCAUUGGAAUUUCUGCCUCCUGUCCUGGAGGGCUUUCUUUCGUCCUUUUGAGAUGAUGUGCUGCUAUUGAAUUCCUCUUCCUUUUGUUUACCUAUGAAGGAAUGCUGCAGGUUCUCAUUUUUCAUGAAGGUCGAUUAUCCUGGGUAAUUUACAUAUUUGUCAUACUUGGUUCGUGUAGAUUUUUUUUAAAAUCAAACUGAGUGUUUGACCAUUAUCCACAUUUUUUAUUUCUCAUUUGCACUCUCGUUUGUGACUUUCAUUAAAUCUGCUGCUGACUUACUGUGGUUCUUCUAAGAUACCUCAUGGUUGUGUGCAAUACUUAACUCUUGUCAGUAGUAUUGUUUACUCUUUAUGUUUGAUUUAAACUUGGUAUUUCCCUUUCAACAACAAUUUGUGGUAAUGUUGAAGCUUCCCCACUUUAGCUUCUUUGAGCCAUGAAUACAUUAUAUGAUGCAGUCCUUUUCUAUAUCUAGAGUGUCUUGUUUUCAUUGCUCAGGUUUGAGGCCAGGACCUUGCAUAUGCUAGGCACAUAUUGGACUUGCACACCCCUAAUAGUGAAAAUCAACUUGACUCUUUAACUUCUUUGAAGGGCUCAUUAGAAGAAUUUGGUGAAAUUGGAAGGCUAGAGUCUACUAGUGUACCUAGUUUAUAGGUUGAAAUCAAGCUCAGAAACUUGUGUAUCGGGAAUAUUAUCUUUUUGGAGGCUGUUGCUGGGUCUUAGUGACAGAGGACUUCCCUAGCAUGCGUGUUGCCCAGGACAUAGCAUUGAAAAAAAUUGGGGGAGAUUAUUCAAUUCAACCUACAUAUAGUAUUUGGAGACGCUUUCUAUGAAAAUAACAAUCAAAUUUUCUAUACAUACUUGAUUGGUGUUAUGGGAGAAUCUCAUGUGAGAUACUUUCCCUUUAUAUACUAUAAAUUUGAUUGAUACUAUCUCACUAUAUUAGGUAAAAUAUCAUUUUUGCAGACAUUAAUUGACGGUUCUGACAGUUAAAAAGAAGAUUUAAUGUUGUAAGUAACAGAUUGUGGAGGAAAUUUGCAUUCUGACAUCCUUAUUGGCCUUGGAUUCAUGUAGGGUAUUUUCUGCUCCUGAACUAAAGGUUGAUUGACAAGAGGGCUACCAGAAAAUGGGUUACAUUGAAAGUUUUCAUUUCUUUCAGUGUGGAUGAGAAUUAGGCUUCAGACAUUAUCUAGAAGUACGGAAGCUACUGUUAAGUGCAGAGAAAUGACUAUUAGAUUUAUGAAAAUUUGUCAAUUUCAAACUUUAAGGAUAGAAAGGCUUCAAUUUCAAGUAAGUUGUGAGACUGUAAACUGAACCCCCAACCCAAGUUCAUUAAGUAAGAACAUUGAGAACAAACUUUUUUUUUUCAUUUACAAGUAACUUCAUUUGGUGGGGAGGUGCUUUUUAAGAGUCUCUCUCCUUCCCUCUCUCUGCCUCUGUCUUUCUCCUCCCUCCUCCCAACCCCCCUCUCUCAGACUUCUUUGUAAUGUUGAGCUCAGUAUGUUUCCCUACAGUUCAACUCAUUUAUUAGUAGUUUUUUGGACCCCCAUUCAACAAUCCUGCUUUCGUUGUCCUUUGAACAGCCAGGAUACUGAAUUUAGUCACAGUUCCUGCCCUAUGUGAGUUAUCAAUCUAGUGAGAGAGAUCAGCGUGGACAUAGAAUUCGAGCAAUUUGAUAUAUAUACUCUUUAGGGAAAAGACGUACAAAGUGCCCUGUGGUUCAGAGGAAAAUCAUUCUACUAAGCCUAAAGAUGCCAGAGGUCCAGGUAACCGAUGUCUUAAAGGUUGACUACUUAGUCACUGAGAGGUUUGGGAUAGGAUAUCUAGAGGGACCCUGAGAUGGAUCUUAACAGAGAGGACGUUUGGUGAAAAGCAUGAACAUGGACUCGUGAAUUGGAAAAUAAUUCAUGACAUUGGGCUAUAAAUGUUGCUAAGCUCAGGGCCUUGGCUUGGAUUUGUAUUAUGAGAAUUUCCAGACAGGGAGGCUUCUGAGGAUUCUAGUGGUAGUGCCGAACAAUUAAAGGCAACAGUUCUUGUAGUGUAUGUAAAAGGGUUAGCUAGAGGCAACUUACUGGAUAACUAGAGAAGACAAGCAAGAAAAAUAAACCAAAACUUCAUGAUUGUGAAGAAUGUGCACCCCUAGUCUUAUCACUUUUCUCUCUCUCUUGUUCCAUCGAUGGAUGUUUAGUUUACUUUUCAUAGAAUACAUUAAAUUAUUGGAAACAGCCAUACAGCAAGUAAGUGCUGAUUCUCAGUGCGACACUGAAAUAACAGCAGGGCUGUUAGCAUUCUCAUCCCAUCUACUCUACUUUCACUGGCAGUUUCUCCACAUUUUUUUUGUUGUUUUUUUUUUUUUUGGUUUUUCGAGACAGGGUUUCUCUGUGUAGCUUUGCGCCUUUCCUGGAACUCACUUGGUAGCCCAGGCUGGCCUCGAACUCACAGAGAUCCGCCUGGCUCUGCCUCCCGAGUGCUGGGAUUAAAGGCGUGCGCCACCACCGCCCGGCCAUCCACAUUUUUAUUUGUUAUUUGUUAUUUUUUUUUAGACAAACAUUCCCCCCCACCCCUCCGGAUCUGGGGACCGAACCCAGGGCCUUGCGCUUGUUAGGCAAGCGCUCUUCCACUGAGCUAAAUCCCCAACCUCAGAUUUUUAUUUUGUUCUAAAUAAAAUGUGAGGGAUUUAAAAGAAAUAAAUAGUCUUUGUUAUUGGAUCCAUUGCUUCGUUAGAGACUUAAAAAUGUUUAUUGUUUUAUUUUCAAAACACAAAUAUAUGCAAUAAUUGAAACUAGCCAGUGUUGACUUUCUCCUCUCAAAGCAACUUAAAGCGUGGCAUGUUGUCAUAUGCAUAUAAUCCCAGCACUGGAGAUGCUUACAUGGGAAGAUGACCUUGACUUUGAUGCCAGUCUGGGAUUCAUAACAAGACCCCAACUCAAACAAAAAAAACCCAUAAACAUGAUUUCUACUUCAGACUUGUACUAUUAAUCUUUAGGAUUCAAGUAAUGGAUUUAUGACUAGAAGAAAUAGUAGGUGGCUUUUUUUUUUAAGAGCACCUAUAUUAAUCACUAACUUGGAGUACUUCAAGGGGAGAUUUGGGAAAGGAAGCACUGAGCUAUGCAGGAAAACAGUGAACCUAGACUUUGGGCCUUGGCAUUAGCUAGCCUGUUCUUAGACUGCUUCCAUAGUUACUGAUGUCAUUUUUUCCCAGUAGUUAAGAUUGCUUAGAAUGUAAGAGGUUAUUGAAUUUGUUCAAGUCUGUAGAAAAGGCAAGUAAUAGUAUACUGAAAGAUAUGUCAGUUACAGUUACUGUUAAUAAUGGUGUUUACUAUGACAGGGAUUAAAGAAGAGAGAUAAGUACCACUAUAAAUGUUGAAUUGUCAGUGAUAUUAGCAGAGAGAAAACUUCUCUUCAGUGAUUCUCGUGUAAAAUCACUUUAGAUAUUUUUUCUGCUAGUCCAUGUAGAAAACUAGACGGUUUUUCCAUCCUUAUUCUGAUUAAUGAUCUAUUGCCUUUGCUCUUUGUUCUAAGUUAAAAACUGUUGAAGACCUGCGUUACACCUGAAUGAAGACGUUUUUAUAACCACAGAAAAGGCUGCUUUGGAAACCGUCACAGCAAAACUGAAACCUAAUUCUAACUGUUCAGUAGCUAUGUUAUGUAACGCUUAUACCCAACACGCCGAACAUUGGUUUCAAUCACGCCGUGCUUAAUUUUCAGGGUUCCAUGAAGAUAUGUGUGAAGCAUAUCAUAGGCACUCUAUAAUUAACAGUUUGUUAGUUCUUAGGACACUCAACGCAUGGGAGAAAGAAACAACAGCACACUUUGGUGCUCAGGACUUCAUGGAUCCAGCAGCAACCUGGAGUGGUGCUCACCUGAAGAAAUCCUACUCGGAUGGAUAUAAUACAACCUGCUAAGUGUUCUAGCACUUAGCAGGUUGUAUUAUCAUUGUCCGUGGCUAUGGCUCUCGUCUAUCAGACUAAAUCCUUAAGGGCAAGGACGGUGCCUUAUUCAUCUUUGUAUUCGCAGUGCCUAAUCCAGUGCACAUUGUAGGCCUCAUUAAAUGUUUGUUGAAUGAAAAAAUGAAUCAUCAACAGACAUUAAUUGGGCGCCUGCUCUGUGAUCUCCAUGGGCUCAGCUUGUUCCUGCCAGUUGCCUACAGCAUCCGAGGUCUCUUCAACGUACUUCUGAAGCUUAAUCCUGUCUUCUCAUUCUUGGAAUGAAGACUGUUCUGUGUAGUGUAAUGAUAGUGAAUAUACUUUAUCUUGUGGACCAUUUCCAAUUGACUGAUAAUGUGUGUCUCGACUGUGUUUUAUAAAAAGGAUUCUAUAGCAAGUUCUAAUCUAUGCUGAGGGUGUAAAAGGGAGAAUAGAAGCCCGAAUACCUUAAAUGUCAUAUUUGAUCAUGUGUUUUCUAUGAAACAUUCAGUUUAUAUGCCUGUGUUUUGGAAUUGCCUGCGUUUAGAUGUUGUGUAGCUCCUGUUGCUACUAUAAUUGCUACCAAUUACUCCCUAGGUUGAACCACAGUGAUCAUUGAGUAAAAGCUUCAUCCUUGCAAUAUGGGGUCUGCUGUUAUGGUUGGUAUUCAGUUUGUCCUUUUCAACUUUGCCCAGCUUUCCCCUUAACUACAUUUAUUUCCCCCCCCCAAUGUAAAAGUGAAGAGCCUUUAUUUUCUUUUCUUUUUUAUUUUAUUUUUCUAUUACCACCUUGAUACAGUACAAAUUCUUAUCCUAAGAGUGAAAUGUUUCACUGAGGCUUGCCCAGUGAUUGAGUAAAACCAGAGCUUAUUAUGGGUCCCCCCUGCUAGGUAGCCCCUUAACUACAUUUAUAGGUAGACUUCCACAGUCCUGUCUACCAACUACUAAACUCAUGUUUCCUUUUUCUUAUGUUUACUUAAUUUCUAGUAUCCCGUAAAAUAUCUUUCUGUUAACGUAUGUGACAAAGAGAAUACAUGUUAACCAACCCUUUCAGCACCCUACAGCGAGUCAUAUAGUCACCCUGUUCCUAUGGGAGAAAAUCAGCUGUGUUUGCAGACCUUCAAAGAGACAUUGUAGAUGGGAAUGAAGGCCUGGGUGAUACAUAUGAGCGUUAGAGAGUAUAUUAGUUACUUUUCUAGGGCUGUGAACAAAAAUGCCAUGCCCAAAAGCAAAUUGAGGAGAACACGCUUUAUUUUGCUUUUAGCUCCAGAAGGAUAUAUUCCACAUUGGCAUGGCAGGGAAUACACAGCAACAAGCAGGGAGGCAUGGCUUCAGGAUCAGCAGGUGGAACAAGAACAGGAAGUGAGGCAAUCCAGAAAACCAUCUUGCCCCUAGUGGCAUCCCUCUAGAGAAAUUCCACCCCUGAAAGGUCCCAUAAAAUUCCCAAAAGUUACCACCAACUGAGGACCAAGUGUUCAAAUACAUAAGCGUAGUAGGAUUGCUUUUUCAAACCACCCAGGAGGGUAAAACCUACAUCUCGGUAGAAUAUGGUAACUUUAGAUGAAAGGAACUAUCUGUUCACUGAUGCAUGCCGAUCUAUAAAGGAAAGACAACUUAAGAAUGAAAGCUCUCCAUUUCAGACAUGGGCUGUGAGGAGUCAGCUAUCCAGGGACACAGUUACAGAGAUGGAGCUGCUGUUAGGUGAACUGCAAAGUAUGGAUUAGGAACACUUUCUAAUGACUCCUUAGGCACAAAGGCUAGAGUAGACAGUUGACAUGAGAAUAUAGGGCGCCUAUCUGGUGAUUACAGAAGAAAAAAAAACAGCUUUAUUGAGCUUAAUUGUUGCCUUAAUUGCCUUAAUUGAGGAGGGCAGCUAGCAAGAAAAGAAAUGGAUUAAGUGGUCCUGGAAGAAUCUGAGGUCCGGAGUAGACUUUGCCUAAAAACCAUAAUGGAGAACAUACAUGGUUUUCCUUCUUGGUUUGAAGCAAGAUCUAUCCAGGUAGUCCUGACUGUAAACUCCUACAUAGGUCCGGCAGGCCCCAAACUUGUAACAGUCCUGCUUCUACCUUCCAGCUUUGUGAUUAUGGUCAUACAUGGGCCACCGAACAUGGCUCAUGUUGACUUCUGGAGACAUAGGACACUGGUAGAGCAUUUGCCAAGAAAACAUCAGACAUGUAAGGUUCAAUUCCCAGUAUGGCCAGGGCUGAUUAUAUACAAUAUUUUAAAAGUGCGUAAGUUCAUUAAACAAAACAAGGUGGGUGAAAUUUAACAACUUACAUCACCACCAAUAAAAGCCAUUCUUGGAUCAGGAAACAUCCAAUUGAUUGGCUCACGUGCUCGUGUUUUCCUAUUGCUGUUGGAAAAUGCAGAGAAAUGGCAUUGAGGAUUUAGAAGAUAAAACACAGAAGAAAGUAUUAUGAAUGAACACUGCAAGCAGACUUAUUUGCUGUGUAUCCUUGUUUCUCAUGCUUUCUUCCGUCCUCAACAUGGAGUCUUUUGGCCACAGAGUUUCUCUCUGUGUCCCUGGCUCUCCUGGAACAGGACCCUUCGUUUCAAGUUACACAAGGGGAAAAAUAAGAAAAGAGCAACAGGGUUGCCUAAAACCUCGUGAUGCUCACCAGAGAACAAGGGGCUUUUUUCAGUUACAUGCCACUCCUUUCUUGUGCAUUUAUGAAUGUGCACGAUUCCUUCCCAGUGUUCCUGGUAGACUACUUACACUUUUAGACCCCCCACAGUCAAAAAAUCCCCAGUCUGCAGUGCAGUAUCAGAAGACAGGACUCUAAAGCUGUAUUUGGGUUUUAGCAGUAAAAUACCAGCUUUGCAUGAAGAUGGUGGGCAGUGCAUUUGAAAGUAGCUGCACAGUCUGUUUAUAAUUCUUUUUCAUUCACUAAUGAAAGCUGAACUUAUCAUGACCGCUGCUAUACUAUAGAGUGCUCAUUAGACCGAUAACACCUCUUUUGGCAACUGCAGAAGCUAUACGCAAGGAUAAACUACAGCCACAGUAGCCCCUCUCUUUUUUGCUUGGUCAUCAGGUACUAAAAUUUGUUUGGUGGUAACUAUUGAGUAAAUUUUUAAAGUUUUAGUCAAUCGUGGACAUUAGGAGAUUUGGUUAAUCUCUUGUGGGUGCUUGGAAUAGGACAUAGAUUUGCAACUUUCAAAUAUUGUCCCAGUGAAUUCCCAGAAGACAUUUAAAUCAGGCUUUAUGUCUUGUCUUGGAUCUUGCCUCCUCUUGUUGUGUGUCCUAACAGAAUUUUUGUUCUCUUCCCCCACCCUGAUGUGUUUCAGGAAUCUGUCUUCCUUUCCCUGUUCAGACAUGGAUCAGUUAAAAGCUCCAUUGUGGAUCAAAACUCAGUGAAUGUUGGGAAUGGAAUCCAUGUUGCUCUUUGGAUGUACCAACGGGAGUGGUGCCCAAAGAUAAUGUAGAGGAAUGUUGUAACAUGCCCUGUCCAAAUCACAAAUGCUUAACAUUUUUGGCAGAUAAUGGACCUUGAAAGCUUUUAUUAAUGGAAGGAGUAAACUUGGGAUCUCUGAUAUUUGUGAAUGAAUUUAGAAGGCAACUGUUUGUUUCCCCUAUGGAUACAAUGAGUGAAGAAAAUGUACUGAAUGAGCUCUCUGUCUUCUGUGGAGCACACAAUGUGGCUUCAUAUAACCAUAGCUUUUCAGUAUCUUGUCACUUUUAAAUGUCACUGCUUUUAUGGAGAUUUCUGUUUACCCGAUUAGCAAACAGCAUGCUUUCAAUUGAGUCUGAUACGAUGUUAAAAGGCUCAAGGAGAGGAGAUAGGACAAGAAGUGCUGAAUAGCUGAGUGAAAAUGUAGAAUAGGGGGACCAUGUCCAGGAGACAGUGUCCCGACCAUCCUCAGAGCUGCCAUAGCCAUAAAAUGUUAAGCUGGGAUCUGAUACUUGUCAGUCUGAAAUGCGUGAUGGGAGAUCCAAAAUAUGAGGAACUGCUACUUUGGAGAAGGAUUAUAAAAUAUUUAUUUCACAUUAGAGGUUUAGAGGAGGUAAACUCCCAGUUUCACAUUAUUCUCUGUGGGUUUGAGGAUUCUUCCCACUGUCAGCUCACUGGGCAAGGUGAAGUGAAAGGUUUGAUGCUCUCAGGAUGUUGUUGCCUUAUCACCUUAGCAGGUGUUGCCCAACAAUGGGUCCAGUACAUGAAGGAGCAAGAAAGCCAGUGCCCAGUGGACAACAACGUGGCCUUUUGAGUGAAGAUCAUUGACAAAACAACUUCACUCAGUUGGACUCUAAAAAUAUAAAGAAGAUGCAUAAUUUUAUAACAGUAUAUACUUGUUACUCUAUAUUUUUAUUCUGGUAUUUUUUUCAUUUCAAAAUUUAAAAGUUAUAUUUCUAUGUCAUGUUCUUUGAUAAAGACAAUAUAAAGUCUACAUAGAAUAUGUACUUUACUGCAUUUAUUUCAAUUUUACAGGAUUACUGUACUUUUGGACCUUGCCCAUUUUUUUUAUAACAUGUAACAUUGUAUAUUCAUUUGUUGGAAAAUAAAUUUCUACCAAUGAAUUCUUUUAUUUGAAAACUUCUUGGAGCAUCAUAAAGGUGAUUUUGACUUAUUCACAAUACAAUUGUAUAAAUAACAGUACUACCAGUAGUGAAUAAAUGUGAAUAUUUCAUUAAACGAUUAGAAUAUAACUUC
Molecule: long non-coding RNA, 24900 nt
Organism: Peromyscus californicus insignis
Lineage: Eukaryota; Metazoa; Chordata; Mammalia; Rodentia; Cricetidae
Exons: 11
Source: RefSeq, a predicted model, not a curated record